Molecule: ribosomal RNA, 360 nt
Filed under: Triticum aestivum (bread wheat)
Lineage: Eukaryota; Viridiplantae; Streptophyta; Magnoliopsida; Poales; Poaceae
Description: partial small subunit ribosomal RNA
Source: RNAcentral
AUGCCUCCACCACCGCGCGCUCGGACCCCUCCUCGGCUGUCUCCUCCGCCCUACCGCUCGUCCACAGCCAUCAGUAACCCGGAGGAAGACACAGCCGUGGCUGACUCGCCUCAGCUGUCAGAGCGUUCCUCAAGCCGGCGUCCAAGCCGCCCUGCUGCCACCGUUGUGGCCAUGGAUGUAGCAUGGGCUGCCCGCACCAAGCCGGCCGGCCUCCGCUAUCGCCUCACCGAGCGCCCGCGGCUAUCCUCGCCUCACCUCGCCGGUCCACUUCCGCUGGCCGCGCCUAUUGACCCCCGCCUAUCGAUGGGCCGCCCGUUCAUCCUCGCUGUGCCUAUUGAUGAGCUAUCGAAUCAGCCUUGA